RNAcentral lists this non-coding RNA (31 nucleotides) under Rattus norvegicus (Norway rat). Lineage: Eukaryota; Metazoa; Chordata; Mammalia; Rodentia; Muridae. The record is from RNAcentral.
AUUCAAGACAAGUGCCACCAUGGCCAACGUG